UUGGCGUGCCUAAUACAUGCAAGUCGAGCGAGCGGAACUAACAGAUUUACUUCGGUAAUGACGUUAGGAAAGCGAGCGGCGGAUGGGUGAGUAACACGUGGGGAACCUGCCCCAUAGUCUGGGAUACCACUUGGAAACAGGUGCUAAUACCGGAUAAGAAAGCAGAUCGCAUGAUCAGCUUUUAAAAGGCGGCGUAAGCUGUCGCUAUGGGAUGGCCCCGCGGUGCAUUAGCUAGUUGGUAAGGUAAAGGCUUACCAAGGCGAUGAUGCAUAGCCGAGUUGAGAGACUGAUCGGCCACAUUGGGACUGAGACACGGCCCAAACUCCUACGGGAGGCAGCAGUAGGGAAUCUUCCACAAUGGACGCAAGUCUGAUGGAGCAACGCCGCGUGAGUGAAGAAGGUUUUCGGAUCGUAAAGCUCUGUUGUUAGUGAAGAAGGAUAGAGGUAGUAACUGGCCUUUAUUUGACGGUAAUCAACCAGAAAGUCACAGCUAACUACGUGCCAGCAGCCGCGGUAAUACGUAGGUGGCAAGCGUUGUCCGGAUUUAUUGGGCGUAAAGCGAGCGCAGGCGGAAGAAUAAGUCUGAUGUGAAAGCCCUCGGCUUAACCGAGGAACUGCAUCGGAAACUGUUUUUCUUGAGUGCAGAAGAGGAGAGUGGAACUCCAUGUGUAGCGGUGGAAUGCGUAGAUAUAUGGAAGAACACCAGUGGCGAAGGCGGCUCUCUGGUCUGCGACUGACGCUGAGGCUCGAAAGCAUGGGUAGCGAACAGGAUUAGAUACCCUGGUAGUCCAUGCCGUAAACGAUGAGUGCUAAGUGUUGGGAGGUUUCCGCCUCUCAGUGCUGCAGCUAACGCAUUAAGCACUCCGCCUGGGGAGUACGACCGCAAGGUUGAAACUCAAAGGAAUUGACGGGGGCCCGCACAAGCGGUGGAGCAUGUGGUUUAAUUCGAAGCAACGCGAAGAACCUUACCAGGUCUUGACAUCUAGUGUCAUUUGUAGAGAUACAAAGUUCCCUUCGGGGACGCUAAGACAGGUGGUGCAUGGCUGUCGUCAGCUCGUGUCGUGAGAUGUCGGGUUAAGUCCCGCAACGAGCGCAACCCUUGUUAUUAGUUGCCAGCAUUAAGUUGGGCACUCUAAUGAGACUGCCGGUGACAAACCGGAGGAAGGUGGGGAUGACGUCAAGUCAUCAUGCCCCUUAUGACCUGGGCUACACACGUGCUACAAUGGGCAGUACAACGAGAAGCGAGCCUGCGAAGGCAAGCGAAUCUCUGAAAGCUGUUCUCAGUUCGGACUGCAGUCUGCAACUCGACUGCACGAAGCUGGAAUCGCUAGUAAUCGCGGAUCAGCACGCCGCGGUGAAUACGUUCCCGGGCCUUGUACACACCGCCCGUCACACCAUGGGAGUCUGCAAUGCCCAAAGCCGGUGGCCUAACCUUCGGGAAGGAGCCGUCUAAGGCAGGGCAGAUGACUGGGGU
RNAcentral lists this ribosomal RNA (1474 nucleotides) under uncultured organism. Its description in RNAcentral is "SSU rRNA". It matches the Rfam family "Bacterial small subunit ribosomal RNA". The record is from RNAcentral.